GCGGCGGUGACGGAACUGGUCUACGUGAUGCGCUCAAAACGCAUUGCCCCAUCGGGGCUUGUGGGUUCGAAUCCCACCCGCCGCA
RNAcentral lists this transfer RNA (85 nucleotides) under Gaiella sp. RNAcentral's name for it is "tRNA-Leu". It matches the Rfam family "tRNA". Rfam says of the family: Transfer RNA (tRNA) molecules are approximately 80 nucleotides in length. Their secondary structure includes four short double-helical elements and three loops (D, anti-codon, and T loops). Lineage: Bacteria; Bacillati; Actinomycetota; Thermoleophilia; Gaiellales; Gaiellaceae. The record is from RNAcentral.